UGACUGUCAGGCCACCUUAAGCCACAGUACGGAAGAAGCUGUGCUGCCUGUGAGCCCCGUCCAAGGACGUUAAAAGAAGAAGUCAGGCCCCAAAGCCACGGUUUGAGCAAACCGUGCUGCCUGUAGCUCCGUCGUGGGGACGUAAAACCUGGGAGGCUGCAAACUGUGGAAGCUGUACGCACAGUGUAGCAGACUAGUGGUUAGAGGAGACCCCUCCCAUGACACAACGCAGCAGCGGGGCCCGAGCACUGAGGGAAGCUGUACCUCCUUGCAAAGGACUAGAGGUUAGAGGAGACCCCCCGCAAACAAAAACAGCAUAUUGACGCUGGGAGAG
RNAcentral lists this long non-coding RNA (334 nucleotides) under dengue virus type 3. Its description in RNAcentral is "Dengue virus type 3 partial sfRNA1". The stretch from base 152 to 223 matches the Rfam family "Flavivirus DB element". The record is from RNAcentral. Lineage: Riboviria; Orthornavirae; Kitrinoviricota; Flasuviricetes; Amarillovirales; Flaviviridae.